Alligator mississippiensis (American alligator) is the source of this 331-nucleotide long non-coding RNA. RefSeq lists it as uncharacterized. The transcript is spliced from 3 exons. The record is from RefSeq and is a predicted model, not a curated record. Lineage: Eukaryota; Metazoa; Chordata; Crocodylia; Alligatoridae.
UGCUAACAGCCAGAGGGAUAGGAGUUUGUGGAGCUAGGAUUCAGAAAUUCAAGAACAGCUUCACAAACGUGGAGAAAAAAGCUUGACGAAUAUGGAGAAAAUCAGUGGCAUAGAGAAAACAACUGUGACCACCUGAAACCUGAGAUCCUGCUCUUGCCUUUGUUUCAAGGUAAUUUGCAUCAUCACAGAUCCUCACAGAAGGUGAGAGGCUUCAUACCAGCUAUGAACUGACUGCCCAGAGGAGUUUUCCAUCUAUUGACUCCUCUGUGAAAUCCUAUGAAAUAUAAACCAGCAUUUCUACCCAGGAGAACUUUUACAAUCUUUUCUCCAA